RNAcentral lists this ribosomal RNA (254 nucleotides) under uncultured bacterium. RNAcentral describes it as "partial 16S ribosomal RNA". It matches the Rfam family "Bacterial small subunit ribosomal RNA", at positions 524 to 776 of the family's 1533-position model. The record is from RNAcentral.
UACGUAGGGUGCGAGCGUUAAUCGGAAUACUGGGCGUAAAGCGUGCGCAGGCGGUUCGUUGUGUCGGCGGUGAAAGCCCCGGGCUCAACCUGGGAAUGGCCGUUGAAACUGGCGAACUGGAGUGUGGCAGAGGGGGGGGUGGAAUUCCGCGUGUAGCAGUGAAAUGCGUAGAGAUGCGGAGGAACACCGAUGGCGAAGGCAGCCCCCUGGGCUAACACUGACGCUCAGGCACGAAAGCGUGGGGAGCAAACAGG